CAGCUCUGCCAGCAAUGAAACCAUGCGCAUAUGAGAUGGAUUGAGGAGGCUUAGUUUUUGUUGAGCAAAACCCAAACCAGCUCUGAUUUUCAGACAAUCAACAUUUUGGGACAAAAUGUCCCUGUUCUAGUGAGCAUAAUUUUGGCAAUCUAAAAAAUUCAUUGCCAAAACACUGAAAUCAAUGGUUUCACAUUAACAGGGAUCUGGAGGUUAGAGACAAAGGACCAGCUCUGUCCCUGGCAUGCAAAUGAGUCCGAUGGUCUAGACCCCAAUGCCCAAAGGUCUGAGCUGCUUUCCCUGGAAGAUCAAGUGUGUGUUGGCUGAGAAGCAGAGUGGCACAAUUCGUAUUCUGCAGCUGUCUGCAUUCCGGGUCUCCUUCCCUGGCAGAGCAAGGAUCUGCAGGGCUGAAAGCCAGACAAGCCCAUUUCCUAUUUUGCUGUAGCUGGAUGGCUGGCUUCAUUGAAAUAACAGGCUUCUCCUCACGCCCAAACAUGCUGCAGGGAGAGAGCACAGUGAGAGCUUCUGUUCAGGAAAAAUACCCCAGCAAACACUUCCUCAAGCAGGAGGCAAAAUUUCUGGUGGCCUAGAUGGAAGAGGUGAAACUCCAUCCUGCAGCCUCUACAAGCAACCUUGGACCUCCUCUGAAUGGCACAGAUCACAACCUGCCAAGCGCCACAUCAGGAAAUAAAACUUGGCCAGCUAAUUUUCUUAUUAGGGCUGGAUUUCCCUGUUGGACUUGCUGAGUCUCUACUGAUAGUCAACUGAGAAGACAACCAUACUUAAAGAUGCCAUUUAAGAUGCACCUCUUCUGCUUUCCAGCUAUUUGAGGAAGCUGCUGUUUUCUCUGUUAAUUGUUUUUAGCAUUUGAACUGCCUAAUCACACACAAGCCUAAAGGUCUGGAAGGAUUCAAAUGGAAAUUCCAGCCAUUUUAAUAUUUCUUGAAUUUCUUGUCAGCAGAAUAACGGUCCUGAAAC
This is a long non-coding RNA of Mauremys reevesii (Reeves's turtle), 975 nucleotides long. RefSeq lists it as uncharacterized. NCBI's taxonomy places the organism in Eukaryota, Metazoa, Chordata, Testudines, Geoemydidae. The record is from RefSeq and is a predicted model, not a curated record. The transcript is spliced from 6 exons.